CUCUAGAAAUGCUCAUUAGGAUGUUUAAAAGUAAAUACUAAAUUCUUUACUGAAACCUCAAAGUUUUCCUACACCUUUCUUCUUCUUCUCCUCUCCUUCUCUCCCUAGAUUAAUCCCUCUCUAAGCUCUUGGAGGAUGAAAGAAUGAAAUAGAAGUGAUGACGAAAAUGGGAAGGGUGGGGUCUCUAUUUAUAGAAAAUAUGAACUGUUAGAUUUUUGUCAAGUCAUAAAAUCUAGUGAAGAGAGAAAAAGUGAAUGAGAAGGGACUGAUGUGAUGUCUGACCGAUGUGACCAAUGAACAAAUGACGCACGUGACAGCAACACAAAAAUUGGAGGCACGCCUCCCAAAUUAUGGUGGCACACCGCCUGAGGUAGCAGAACACUGCCCCAUUUGGCCGCGCGCGGAGCCAGCCUGUGCGCACACGGGACCUACAGUGCACAGGCCUACUGUGUGCAGGCCUAUGUGCGCAGGCCUCCCAUGCAGGCUUAC
RNAcentral lists this long non-coding RNA (489 nucleotides) under Carica papaya (papaya). Its description in RNAcentral is "long non-coding RNA (CPAP_LNC004316)". Lineage: Eukaryota; Viridiplantae; Streptophyta; Magnoliopsida; Brassicales; Caricaceae. The record is from RNAcentral.